GUUUCGGCGGCCAUAGCGAGAGGGAAACGCCCGGUCACAUUCCGAACCCGGAAGCUAAGACUCUCUGCGCCGAUGGUACUGCAAGGGGGACCUUGUGGGAGAGUAGGACACCGCCGGACUC
Molecule: ribosomal RNA, 121 nt
Filed under: Agreia bicolorata
Lineage: Bacteria; Bacillati; Actinomycetota; Actinomycetes; Micrococcales; Microbacteriaceae
Source: RNAcentral